This 1101-nucleotide small RNA is filed under the name uncultured bacterium. Its description in RNAcentral is "bacterial SSU rRNA". The stretch from base 1 to 479 matches the Rfam family "Bacterial small subunit ribosomal RNA", at positions 1045 to 1533 of the family's 1533-position model. The record is from RNAcentral.
AUGGCUGUCGUCAGCUCGUGCUGUGAAGUGUCGGGUUAAGUCCCAUAACGAGCGCAACCCCUAUUCUUAGUUGCCAGCGGUUCGGCCGGGGACUCUAAGAAAACUGCCAGUGCAAGCUGUGAGGAAGGUGGGGAUGACGUCAAAUCAUCACGGCCCUUACGACCUGGGCCACACACGUGCUACAAUGGUAGGUACAAAGGGCAGCCACUUGGCGACAAGGAGCUAAUCUCUAAAACCUAUCUCAGUUCGGAUUGGAGUCUGAAACUCGACUCCGUGAAGCUGGAAUCGCUAGUAAUCGGAUAUCAGCCAUGAUCCGGUGAAUACGUUCCCGGGCCUUGUACACACCGCCCGUCAAGCCAUGGAAGCUGGGAGUGCCUGAAGUCGGUCACCGCAAGGAGCCGCCUAGGGUAAAACUGGUAACUAGGGCUAAGUCGUAACAAGGUAGCCGUACCGGAAGGUGCGGCUGGAACACCUCCUUUCUAGAGAAAGAUGGUGAGUUACAAAAGGGUUAUUUUUUCUCUUUGCUGUCAAUUUUAAAAUAUACAAAUAUUAAGCUAUUUAGUCUCGUAGCUCAGCUGGUUAGAGCGCUACACUGAUAAUGUAGAGGUCGGCAGUUCGAGUCUGCCCGAGACUACUAAGUUUUUUAAUAUUUGAAGGAAAUUCUGGAAGUUAGAGGAUUCAACAUUCAUAAUUCUGAAUUCAACAUUCUGAAUUUCAUAAAUGGGGGAUUAGCUCAGCUGGCUAGAGCGCUUGCCUUGCACGCAAGAGGUCAUCGGUUCGACUCCGAUAUUCUCCACAACAAAUUGGUUAGUCUAUUGAUAUAGAUUGAUUGGUUUAUAAGUUCAUUGACAUAUUGGUAAAAGUGAUAUCGUAAAGAAUCAAGAUAGAGACGUUUAGUUUAGACUAAACGCAUAAAUUUUUAUAAGAAUAAAAGAGCUCGUUGUAGUAUUUAUACUACGGCAAAAAGUACAAUAAGUUAAGUAAGGGCGUAUGGCGGAUGCCUAGGCUCUCAGAGACGAUGAAGGACGUGAUAAGCUGCGAAAAGUUACGGGGAGAAGCACAUAUUUUAUGAUCCGUAAAUAUCCGAAUGGGGAAACCCGG